GGCCGUGUGGCAUAAUGGUUUGAGUGUUGGACUAGGACUCUGGAGACCAGUUUUCAAAUCCUGGCUGAGCCA
This is a non-coding RNA of Phrynosoma platyrhinos (Desert horned lizard), 72 nucleotides long. The record is from the annotation of a GenBank genome assembly. Lineage: Eukaryota; Metazoa; Chordata; Lepidosauria; Squamata; Phrynosomatidae.